RNAcentral lists this ribosomal RNA (207 nucleotides) under uncultured bacterium. RNAcentral's name for it is "partial 16S ribosomal RNA". It matches the Rfam family "Bacterial small subunit ribosomal RNA", at positions 568 to 774 of the family's 1533-position model. The record is from RNAcentral.
CGCGCAGGCGGUCGUUCAAGUCGAGUGUGAAAGCCCCCGGCUCAACUGGGGAGGGUCACUCGAUACUGAUCGACUUGAAGGCAGGAGAGGGAAGCGGAAUUCCCGGUGUAGUGGUGAAAUGCGUAGAUAUCGGGAGGAACACCAGUGGCGAAGGCGGCUUCCUGGCCUGUUCUUGACGCUGAGGCGCGAAAGCUAGGGUAGCGAACG